Molecule: microRNA precursor, 191 nt
Filed under: Oryza sativa Japonica Group (Japanese rice)
Lineage: Eukaryota; Viridiplantae; Streptophyta; Magnoliopsida; Poales; Poaceae
Description: MIR812 microRNA precursor family
Rfam family: MIR812 microRNA precursor family
Source: Rfam by way of RNAcentral
UAUAAGAGAUUUUAAGUUUUUACUUGUAAUGUUUGACCACUCGUUUUAUUCAAAAAAAUUUGACAUUAUUAUUUAUUUUAUUUGUGACUUACUUUAUUAUCUAUAGUACUUUAAGCACAACUUUUCAUUUUUUAUAUUUGCAAAAAAAAUUUGAAUAAGACGAGUGGUCAAACGUUGCAAACAAAAACUCA